AGAGUUUGAUCAUGGCUCAGAGCGAACGCUGGCGGCGUGCCUAACACAUGCAAGUCGAACGUGAAAUGGGGCAACCCAAAGUAAAGUGGCGUACGGGUGAGUAACACGUAGGUAAUCUACCAAAGUGUCUGGAAUAACCGGCCGAAAGGCUGGCUAAUACUGGAUAGAGCGACGGGAUCCGUAAUUGGGUCUUUCGGGAAAGGGAGCUCGCAAGAGCCUUCGCACUUUGAUGAGCCUGCGUCUCAUUAGCUAGUUGGCGGGGUAACGGCCCACCAAGGCAUUGAUGAGUAGCUGGUCUGAGAGGAUGAUCAGCCACACUGGAACUGAAACACGGUCCAGACUCCUACGGGAGGCAGCAGUGGGGAAUCUUGCGCAAUGGACGAAAGUCUGACGCAGCCACGCCGCGUGAGUGAAGAAGGCCUUCGGGUUGUAAAGCUCUGUCGGAGGGGACGAACAUUUUCUGGGUUAACAGCCCAGGGAACUGACGGUACCCUCAAAGGAAGCACCGGCUAACUUCGUGCCAGCAGCCGCGGUA
RNAcentral lists this ribosomal RNA (535 nucleotides) under uncultured Pseudomonadota bacterium. Its description in RNAcentral is "bacterial SSU rRNA". It matches the Rfam family "Bacterial small subunit ribosomal RNA", at positions 8 to 522 of the family's 1533-position model. Lineage: Bacteria; Pseudomonadati; Pseudomonadota. The record is from RNAcentral.